RNAcentral lists this long non-coding RNA (207 nucleotides) under Setaria italica (foxtail millet). Its description in RNAcentral is "long non-coding RNA (SITA_LNC001259)". Lineage: Eukaryota; Viridiplantae; Streptophyta; Magnoliopsida; Poales; Poaceae. The record is from RNAcentral.
GGGAAUGACGGAUCCGCACCGAAGGGUGACAUAUCUGCGCCGGUGACAUGCAGAUCCGACCGGUGCAGGGCCGGCCGCCGCGGGCUGCCGGUGCGGGGCCAGCCACCGUGGGCUGCCGGCGCCAGCCACCAGGCUAGGGUUUGAGGGGGGCUCACGAGCAUGCAGAAAGAAUCCCUGACGUCCUUGUGGUUGUGCGGGCUUUCGGCA